Molecule: transfer RNA, 116 nt
Filed under: marine sediment metagenome
Description: tRNA-Tyr
Rfam family: tRNA
About the family: Transfer RNA (tRNA) molecules are approximately 80 nucleotides in length. Their secondary structure includes four short double-helical elements and three loops (D, anti-codon, and T loops).
Source: RNAcentral
CGGGAAGUAGCUCAGUGGGUAGAGCGCCGGUAUAAAUACCUUUCGCUCAUGGCAAAUGAGGUUCCUAUAAAAAUCGGAACCGGAUGUCGAAGGUUCAAAUCCUUCCUUCCCGACCA